Molecule: ribosomal RNA, 253 nt
Filed under: uncultured bacterium
Lineage: Bacteria
Description: partial 16S ribosomal RNA
Rfam family: Bacterial small subunit ribosomal RNA
Source: RNAcentral
UACGGAGGGGGCAAGCGUUAUUCGGAAUCAUUGGGCGUAAAGGGCGCGUAGGCGGCUUCAUAAGUCUUGGGUGAAAGCCCUCGGCUCAACCGAGGAAUUGCCUUGGAUACUGUGAAGCUCGAGGCUGGAAGAGGGCAGUGGAAUUCCCGGUGUAGCGGUGAAAUGCGUAGAUAUCGUAAGGAAGACCAGUGGCGAAGGCGGGUCUCUGGACAGUUCCUGACGCUGAGGCACGAAGGUCAGGGGAGCAAACGGG